ACGCUGGCGGCGUGCCUAAUACAUGCAAGUAGAACGCUGAAGGAGGAGCUUGCUUCUCCGGAUGAGUUGCGAACGGGUGAGUAACGCGUAGGUAACCUGCCUGGUAGCGGGGGAUAACUAUUGGAAACGAUAGCUAAUACCGCAUAAGAGUAGAUGUUGCAUGACAUUUGCUUAAAAGGUGCAAUUGCAUCACUACCAGAUGGACCUGCGUUGUAUUAGCUAGUUGGUGGGGUAACGGCUCACCAAGGCGACGAUACAUAGCCGACCUGAGAGGGUGAUCGGCCACACUGGGACUGAGACACGGCCCAGACUCCUGCGGGAGGCAGCAGUAGGGAAUCUUCGGCAAUGGACGGAAGUCUGACCGAGCAACGCCGCGUGAGUGAAGAAGGUUUUCGGAUCGUAAAGCUCUGUUGUAAGAGAAGAACGAGUGUGAGAGUGGAAAGUUCACACUGUGACAGUAUCUUACCAGAAAGGGACGGCUAACUACGUGCCAGCAGCCGCGGUAAUACGUAGGUCCCGAGCGUUGUCCGGAUUUAUUGGGCGUAAAGCGAGCGCAGGCGGUUAGAUAAGUCUGAAGUUAAAGGCUGUGGCUUAACCAUAGUACGCUUUGGAAACUGUUUAACUUGAGUGCAAGAGGGGAGAGUGGAAUUCCAUGUGUAGCGGUGAAAUGCGUAGAUAUAUGGAGGAACACCGGUGGCGAAAGCGGCUCUCUGGCUUGUAACUGACGCUGAGGCUCGAAAGCGUGGGGAGCAGACAGGAUUAGAUACCCUGGUAGUCCACGCCGUAAACGAUGAGUGCUAGGUGUUAGACCCUCUUCGGGGUUUAGUGCCGUAGCUAACGCAUUAAGCACUCCGCCUGGGGAGUACGACCGCAAGGUUGAAACUCAAAGGAAUUGACGGGGGCCCGCACAAGCGGUGG
This 918-nucleotide ribosomal RNA is filed under the name uncultured bacterium. RNAcentral's name for it is "bacterial SSU rRNA". It matches the Rfam family "Bacterial small subunit ribosomal RNA", at positions 33 to 935 of the family's 1533-position model. The record is from RNAcentral.